CCUACGUGAGGCAGCAGUGGGGAAUAUUGCGCAAUGGGGGAAACCCUGACGCAGCCACGCAGCGUGAGUGAAGAAGUAUCUCGGUAUGUAAAGCUCUAUCAGCGGGGAAGAAGGAAGACGGUACCCGACUAAGAAGCCCCGGCUAACUACGUGCAAGCAGCCGCGGUAAUACGUAGGGGGCGAGCGUUCUCCGGAUUUACUGGGUGUAAAGGGAGCGUAGACGGCGUCGCAAGUCUGAAGUGAAAGCCCGCGGCUCAACCGCGGAACCGCUUUGGAACCUGCGAGGCUGGAGUGCUGGAGAGGUAAGCGGAAUUCCUGGUGUAGCGGUGAAAUGCGUAGAUAUCAGGAAGAACACCGAGGGCGAAGGCGGCUUACUGGACAGUGACUGACGUUGAGGCUCGAAAGCGUGGGGAUCGAACAGGAUUAGAUACCCCUGUAGUC
This 441-nucleotide ribosomal RNA is filed under the name uncultured bacterium. RNAcentral's name for it is "partial 16S ribosomal RNA". It matches the Rfam family "Bacterial small subunit ribosomal RNA", at positions 338 to 795 of the family's 1533-position model. The record is from RNAcentral.